RNAcentral lists this ribosomal RNA (253 nucleotides) under uncultured bacterium. Its description in RNAcentral is "partial 16S ribosomal RNA". It matches the Rfam family "Bacterial small subunit ribosomal RNA", at positions 524 to 776 of the family's 1533-position model. The record is from RNAcentral.
UACAGAGGUGGCAAGCGUUGUUCGGAAUUACUGGGCGUAAAGGGCGCGUAGGCGGUCUUGUAAGUCUUGUGUGAAAUCCCUCGGCUUAACUGAGGAACUGCACGGGAUACUGCAUGACUUGAGAUCGGGAGAGGGAAGCGGAAUUCCGGGUGUAGCGGUGAAAUGCGUAGAUAUCCGGAGGAACACCGGUGGCGAAGGCGGCAUCCUGGACCGGUAUUGACGCUGAUGCGCGAAAGCCAGGGGAGCAAACGGG